CGCGUAGGCGGAUUCGUCAGUCAGGGUUGAAAGCCCUCGGCUCAACCGAGGAACUGGCCCUGAUACUGCGAGUCUUGAGGUCGGCAGGGGGAUGUGGAACGUCUGGUGGAGCGGUGAAAUGCGUAGAUAUCAGACGGAACACCGGAGGCGAAGGCGACAUCCUGGGCCGAAUCUGACGCUGAGGCGCGAAAGCGUGGGGAGCAAACA
RNAcentral lists this ribosomal RNA (207 nucleotides) under uncultured bacterium. Its description in RNAcentral is "partial 16S ribosomal RNA". It matches the Rfam family "Bacterial small subunit ribosomal RNA", at positions 568 to 774 of the family's 1533-position model. The record is from RNAcentral.